ACUCAAAUGAAUUGACGGGGGCCCGCACAAGCGGCGGAGCGCGUGGCUUAAUUCGAUGCAAAGCGAAGAACCUUACCUGGGUUUGACAUGCACGCAGUAGUGAUCCGAAAGGUGAUCGACCCGUAAAGUCGGGUACGUGCACAGGUGCUGCAUGGCUGUCGUCAGCUCGUGCCGUGAGGUGUUGGGUUAAGUCCCGCAACGAGCGCAACCCCCGCCCUUUGUUGCCAGCGGAUAAUGCCGGGCACUCGAAGGGGACUGCCGGCGAGAAGCCGGAGGAAGGAGGGGAUGACGUCAAGUCCUCAUGGCCCUUACAUCCAGGGCUGCACACGCGCUACAAUGGUCGGUACAAUCCGCUGCAAGUCCGCAAGGAUGAGCCAAUCGGAAAAAGCCGGUCGUAGUUCGGAUUGGGGUCUGCAACUCGACCCCAUGAAGUUGGAGUCGCUAGUAAUCGCCCAUCAGCAUGGGGCGGUGAAUACGUUCCCGGGCCUUGUACACACCGCCCGU
RNAcentral lists this ribosomal RNA (504 nucleotides) under uncultured bacterium. RNAcentral describes it as "partial 16S ribosomal RNA". It matches the Rfam family "Bacterial small subunit ribosomal RNA", at positions 899 to 1397 of the family's 1533-position model. The record is from RNAcentral.